This 492-nucleotide ribosomal RNA is filed under the name uncultured bacterium. Its description in RNAcentral is "partial 16S ribosomal RNA". It matches the Rfam family "Bacterial small subunit ribosomal RNA", at positions 29 to 507 of the family's 1533-position model. The record is from RNAcentral.
AGUGAACGCUGGCGGUAGGCCUAACACAUGCAAGUCGAACGGCAGCACAGUAAGAGCUUGCUCUUACGGGUUGCGAGUGGCGGACGGGUGAGGAAUACAUCGGAAUCUACUUUUUCGUGGGGGAUAACGUAGGGAAACUUACGCUAAUACCGCAUACGACCUACGGGUGAAAGCAGGGGAUCUUCGCACCUUGCGCGAUUGAAUUAGCCGAUGUCGGAUUAGCUAGUUGGCGGGGUAGAGGCCCACCAAGGCGACGAUCCGUAGCUGGUCGUGGUGAAUGAUACGCACCAAUGGAGGUUAGACAGCGACCACGUUCCUACGGGUAGCGAAAGAGAGCGAUAUUAGACAGAUGGGGCAAACGUUGUGCAGAGAUACCGUGUCGGAGGAGAAGGCGGCGCGAUUGUAAAGCCCUUUUGUGGGGAAAGAAAAGCGGGAGUCUAUUACCACGCUUGUCUGACGGUACCCGCAGAAUAAGCACCGGCUAACUACGUG